UACAGAGGUCUCGAGCGUUGUUCGGAUUCAUUGGGCGUAAAGGGUGCGUAGGCUGUGGAGUAAGUCUGAUGUGAAAUCCCGGAGCUCAACUUCGGAACUGCAUUGGAUACUGCUUUACUAGAGUACUGGAGAGGAGAUUGGAAUUUACGGUGUAGCAGUGAAAUGCGUAGAUAUCGUAAGGAAGACCAGUGGCGAAGGCGAAUCUCUGGACAGUUACUGACGCUGAGGCACGAAGGCCAGGGGAG
RNAcentral lists this ribosomal RNA (245 nucleotides) under uncultured bacterium. RNAcentral describes it as "partial 16S ribosomal RNA". It matches the Rfam family "Bacterial small subunit ribosomal RNA", at positions 524 to 768 of the family's 1533-position model. The record is from RNAcentral.